CCUACGGGGGGCUGCAGUGAGGAAUAUUGGUCAAUGGACGCGAGCCUGAACCAGCCAAGUAGCGUGAAGGAUGACUGCCCUACGGGUUGUAAACUUCUUUUAUACGGGAAUAAAGUUAAGCACGUAUACCUUUUUGUAUGUACUUUAUGAAUAAGGAUCGGCUAACUCCGUGCCAGCAGCCGCGGUAAUACGGAGGAUCCGAGCGUUAUCCGGAUUUAUUGGGUUUAAAGGGAGCGUAGAUGGGUUGUUAAGUCAGUUGUGAAAGUUUGCGGCUCAACCGUAAAAUUGCAAUUGAUACUGGAAGCCUUGAGUACAGUUGAGGUAGGCGGAAUUCGUGGUGUAGCGGUGAAAUGCUUAGAUAUCACGAAGAACUCCGAUUGCGAAGGCAGCUUACUAAACUGUCACUGACACUGAUGCUCGAAAGUGUGGGUAUCAAACAGGAUUAGAUACCCUAGUAGUC
RNAcentral lists this ribosomal RNA (460 nucleotides) under uncultured bacterium. RNAcentral's name for it is "partial 16S ribosomal RNA". It matches the Rfam family "Bacterial small subunit ribosomal RNA", at positions 338 to 795 of the family's 1533-position model. The record is from RNAcentral.